Pieris brassicae (large cabbage white) is the source of this 1351-nucleotide long non-coding RNA. RefSeq lists it as uncharacterized. The record is from RefSeq and is a predicted model, not a curated record. The transcript has 2 exons. NCBI's taxonomy places the organism in Eukaryota, Metazoa, Arthropoda, Insecta, Lepidoptera, Pieridae.
UCUAUGUCGUAUGUUACAUCCACAAUCAAGUGAUUUAGGAACAUAAUUAAUGUGUAUGUAAGUCGAUAUUUAAACCUGACCUAUAAUGAAAUAUUCAAAUGUAAUUAAAAAUUAAAUAAAAAUUUAUGGAAAUAUUAGCCAAACUAAAGCUACAGAAGUCGUCAAAUCCCAAAAAAUAAGCAGUGUUACUGGCUUGUAAGAAAAUCAACAGCGGUUCGCUAGACGUCAAAAUGGUGCUAGUUGUCAGGCUUUUCUUUCUGUCGUAGUUUCAAAAAUACGAAAAAUAAGUGUAUGGCAUCAGAUAUUUUAUGUAUUAACAUACAACCAUUGUGUUUUUGUUUUAAAAUUUAACAAAAGUAAAGCUUUUCGUGAUGCACUUAGUUCAAAUAACAUAAUUUUAUCAUUUUGAAAUGGCGGAUGACACGAAUCGUCGCGACGCAAUAAAUAUGGCCGCUGAAAUGGUUUAAUUACGUAACACUUUAUCAAAAAUCAAUGAUUUUUGGUCUAAAAGAGGACUACGUUUAAAUACAGAUAAAGUUACGUUGGCAGCAUUGGACGAGCUUGAAUGUUGGCAGUAUACAAAAAGGCGGGCUUUUCAAAAUAUCGCUGUAAAAUUUGGUUCAUUGAAUCCUUUCUGGUUAAACUUUUUUAAUAAAAAUACUAAUUUAUGUACAAAAUUAAUGACUUUAUACAAUAAACAACUAUAUAACACUAUAAAUUGUUUACAAUUACAUGUUAUAUAAAUGUCAUCCGAAUGCUAAACAUGGUGAAAUACAAUUAUUCUGUAAAUGUUUCCGAUAUUUAUUCUUUUAUUAUUCUUUAAUUAUUAUCUUUAAAAAAAAGUUCUUUCUAACAUCUAAAAAAAAUAAUAUAAAAAAUACUUUGUAAAUUCCAUAAAAUAAAACUCACUAUUUUUGUUUUACACUAAUUGACCUGAAUAUUGCUUACUUUUUUGUUACUACACUAUCAACAUUAACUGAUUAAACAUUAUUUUACCUUAACCUUAAUAAAAAAGAGCCAUAAUUUAACCCAAACAGGAGCAUUUGUAACAACCGGUAGGAGUAAGACUCUUGUAAGUUUGAUUAUUAGUGGCCGAGUUAGCUAACACAUCCUAAGUGAAGCCCCGUGAUUCAAAUCUAAGGGUAUCGCUAUCCAAAUCCGAAACUUAGCGCUAAAUAGCAGUCUCGUUUGUCUAGAUCUUAUUGGAUUUCAAGAGUGCCGAAAAGCGAAAAGUUAUUAAAGCGGUUAUUAAAUUAAUAUUAAAAUUGGAGUAUGCUUGUCAUUAAUAAUUCUCUCGUCUAAUAGAACUCCUAAACUGUAUAUAAAAAUAAAUAUGUGAUAUAAACAAGUA